RNAcentral lists this ribosomal RNA (1121 nucleotides) under Klebsiella variicola. Its description in RNAcentral is "bacterial SSU rRNA". It matches the Rfam family "Bacterial small subunit ribosomal RNA", at positions 80 to 1196 of the family's 1533-position model. The record is from RNAcentral. Lineage: Bacteria; Pseudomonadati; Pseudomonadota; Gammaproteobacteria; Enterobacterales; Enterobacteriaceae.
GCUCUCGGGUGACGAGCGGCGGACGGGUGAGUAAUGUCUGGGAAACUGCCUGAUGGAGGGGGAUAACUACUGGAAACGGUAGCUAAUACCGCAUAACGUCGCAAGACCAAAGUGGGGGACCUUCGGGCCUCAUGCCAUCAGAUGUGCCCAGAUGGGAUUAGCUAGUAGGUGGGGUAACGGCUCACCUAGGCGACGAUCCCUAGCUGGUCUGAGAGGAUGACCAGCCACACUGGAACUGAGACACGGUCCAGACUCCUACGGGAGGCAGCAGUGGGGAAUAUUGCACAAUGGGCGCAAGCCUGAUGCAGCCAUGCCGCGUGUGUGAAGAAGGCCUUCGGGUUGUAAAGCACUUUCAGCGGGGAGGAAGGCGGUGAGGUUAAUAACCUCAUCGAUUGACGUUACCCGCAGAAGAAGCACCGGCUAACUCCGUGCCAGCAGCCGCGGUAAUACGGAGGGUGCAAGCGUUAAUCGGAAUUACUGGGCGUAAAGCGCACGCAGGCGGUCUGUCAAGUCGGAUGUGAAAUCCCCGGGCUCAACCUGGGAACUGCAUUCGAAACUGGCAGGCUAGAGUCUUGUAGAGGGGGGUAGAAUUCCAGGUGUAGCGGUGAAAUGCGUAGAGAUCUGGAGGAAUACCGGUGGCGAAGGCGGCCCCCUGGACAAAGACUGACGCUCAGGUGCGAAAGCGUGGGGAGCAAACAGGAUUAGAUACCCUGGUAGUCCACGCUGUAAACGAUGUCGAUUUGGAGGUUGUGCCCUUGAGGCGUGGCUUCCGGAGCUAACGCGUUAAAUCGACCGCCUGGGGAGUACGGCCGCAAGGUUAAAACUCAAAUGAAUUGACGGGGGCCCGCACAAGCGGUGGAGCAUGUGGUUUAAUUCGAUGCAACGCGAAGAACCUUACCUGGUCUUGACAUCCACAGAACUUUCCAGAGAUGCAUUGGUGCCUUCGGGAACUGUGAGACAGGUGCUGCAUGGCUGUCGUCAGCUCGUGUUGUGAAAUGUUGGGUUAAGUCCCGCAACGAGCGCAACCCUUAUCCUUUGUUGCCAGCGGUUAGGCCGGGAACUCAAAGGAGACUGCCAGUGAUAAACUGGAAGAAAGGUGGGGGAUGACGUCAAGUCAUCAU